GAUGAACGCUAGCGAUAGGCUUAACACAUGCAAGUCGAGGGGUAACGUGUUGGAAGCUUGCUUCCGAUGACGACGACCGGCGGAUGGGUGCGUAACGCGUAUGCAACUUGCCUCACAGUGGAGAAUAACCCGGAGAAAUCCGGACUAAUGUUCCAUACACUCUUUAGCACGCCUGUGCGUAAGAGGAAAGAUUUAUCGCUGUGAGAUAGGCAUGCGUCCUAUUAGGUAGUUGGUGAGGUAACGGCUCACCAAGCCGACGAUAGGUAGGGGUGCUGAGAGGCAGAUCCCCCACAUUGGGACUGAGACACGGCCCAAACUCCUACGGGAGCAGCAGUGAGGAAUAUUGGUCAAUGGAGGAAACUCUGAACCAGCCAAGUCGCGUGAAGGAAGAAUGUCCUAAGGAUUGUAAACUUCUUUAGCGAGUGAGUAAGGACUUCCACGCGUUGGGAUUAAGCUCGAGAAUAAGUAUCGG
RNAcentral lists this ribosomal RNA (472 nucleotides) under uncultured bacterium. Its description in RNAcentral is "bacterial SSU rRNA". It matches the Rfam family "Bacterial small subunit ribosomal RNA", at positions 28 to 496 of the family's 1533-position model. The record is from RNAcentral.